This 18-nucleotide small RNA is filed under the name Arabidopsis thaliana (thale cress). Its description in RNAcentral is "Ath_wt_18986". Lineage: Eukaryota; Viridiplantae; Streptophyta; Magnoliopsida; Brassicales; Brassicaceae. The record is from RNAcentral.
GGAGGGCGCGGCGGUCGC